This 369-nucleotide ribosomal RNA is filed under the name Triticum aestivum (bread wheat). RNAcentral's name for it is "partial small subunit ribosomal RNA". Lineage: Eukaryota; Viridiplantae; Streptophyta; Magnoliopsida; Poales; Poaceae. The record is from RNAcentral.
AUGGCGCUCUUCCUCGGCAUCCUCCGCCGCACCCACCUGCUGUCCGGACACGCGUCCUCCUCCACGCCGUCAGCCCGGUGGCUCGGCUCCGUCCUCCACCUCCUUCUAUCCUUGCACGGAGCUCAAGCUCUUGCCCGCACCCAUCUUGCCCAUCCCCUGCUGGAACACAUAGAAGAAGUAGCCCUGGUUCAUGGUGAACAUGUUCACAAGCCGCUGCGUCUCCGGCGACUCGAACUGCGCCUGGUCCGAGCUCAGCAGGCCCCUCCGCUGCUGCAGCUCCUUGAAGUAGACUCCGUCGAAUGUCGUGCUCGUCCGGUCGAACGUCGCCGUCGCGGAGUCCCCGCCCUUGCUGCACGUAGCCGCCAGUGA